Frieseomelitta varia is the source of this 5726-nucleotide long non-coding RNA. RefSeq lists it as uncharacterized. The record is from RefSeq and is a predicted model, not a curated record. The transcript has 2 exons. NCBI's taxonomy places the organism in Eukaryota, Metazoa, Arthropoda, Insecta, Hymenoptera, Apidae.
AAUGUGCGAAAGAGUUAGAGAGAACGAAAGAGAGAGAGAGAGAGAGAGAGAGAGAGAGUGAGAGUGUGAUUACAUAGAGCGUGAUUACAUAGAGGAUUUAAUGCGGCUGUGUGCUGAAGCGUGCGUGCGCAAGACGUUCGUCGGGAGAGGAACGAAGAGGAUGAGGAACGGUUCGACGCGACGGGACUCGCGAACGCGAACUUUCCGACCGACUGACAGAGUGACAGAGAGCCGCGUGUAACCUAAACAAUCUGCAACCGGAAGACAGCAGAACGCGGAACCCCGAUUCCGAUGGCGCUAGGCGUCACCCUUCGACCUUUCGAAGCAUUCUUCACCUGUGUGUUGACCUGAGACGUGAAAUAUGGAAGAAAAUUAUCUAUAAGAGAAGAGAGGUCACACAGAGCUCGUUCCGGAAGGGGAGAGAAAACAAAAAAGAAAGAGAGAGAGAGCGAGAGAGAAAUAUAAUGAAAAUGUCGAACGAUCACGCCAUGCGCCCACAUCUGGAAAACAGUGAAAGAGCCACAGAGAUACAGUUACACACGAUACAGAUAUACGUAUACUCGCGUGCAAUGUGACGUGCGUGAAAUGACACACAUACACACACACACACACACAAACUCCCCGAACCAUUUUACCUAGCGAUCUAUACACACGUAACCGUCUACGUUUAAUAACCACACGGAACGCCCCGCCUGACUGCGUGGCGUGCUGCUGACACUUACCGAUCGUAUAUAUAUUAUAUAUGUAUACAUACAUAUAUAUAUAUAUAUAUAUAUAUAUAUAUAUAUAUACUUACACACAAAGAGGCAUACAGGAUACACACAGAGACAUCAUGGCGAGCAUCGGGCGUCCGUGCGUGUGACGCUGGAGGAGGGCGGGGUGUGCGGACACUUAAUAAUCGCGCACCACUUUCACCAUAACACACGUAUACACACAGAUAAUUACCAACGUGUAAUAAUUUAUUUUUUCACUGGUAUAGUCGGAGAAUUGAUAUUGAAAUAUAUCUGUAGAGCCUAUGUAUUAUAUUCAAAAUGUGCACUCACUUCGCGGGUUGUCGCGAGACGGUAUAGGGACCUGCCUGUGUCACGCUCCGUCGUGAUCGUCGACGAACGUAACAACCCGUUCGUAGUCGCAUGUACCAAGCAUUCCUCCCCCUCCCCCUCCUUCUCCCUCGUUCGUUCCUCUUGUUUCGGCGCGUUCGAUCCGAACGCCGGAAGCACGAAAGAGGAAGAACGGCUGCGAGGGGGAGGAGGAGGAUGGACGUGGGAGGGAAAGAAAACACGAGGAGGAGAGGAGGAAGCCGUUGAAUUGUCGGGUGAGAAAGAAACAACGGCUGCCGACAACGGGGAUUGUUCCGACACUUCUCGACCUCGGGACGGCGGAUCGGUGGUCGGCCGGUUCCGAUACCGUUCGGAGAACUCGUCCUCGGUACGAUUUUACAUUUUAUUUUUAUAAUAAAUGCAGUAGAACGUAGGAGAUGAAAAAAAAAAAAUAAGAAAGGAAAGAGAAGAAAUACUGGCGGAAGAAAGAGCGGUGGUGAGAAAGAAGGAGGGGGGGAAAAAAAGAAGAGAUAGAGAGUGGCGGCGUGUUCGCACGAACGGGAAUAUGGCCGCGUUGCGUCGCUGCCCCGCCGCUCGUCUCGCCCGUACCCGCCGCUUCCGGUCCCGGAGUUUAAUCUCUGUCCGCAGCGUAUUCCCUUUCGACGUGACGUCCUCACCCCUCCUCCCCUCCCACUCCCCCUCCCCCCCCUAAUUCUACGCACGCGUGACGUCGUCGCCGAGAUUCCAGAAGAGGGAGCAGUUCAUCGCGAUCGUGAUCGUGAUCACGACGUCAGUCUGAACGCGAACUUUCCUAAUUUCACCGCUGCGAAGAGCUUCCGGCAUUUCUUCGAUUCUCUAUUCGUUAUACGCGAUGUAUAAUCGAUCGAUCGUACACGGGCGCGCCACCCGGGGGGCCAAACGGUUGUUCGAACUUCCGUCGACGAUGUCGCAAGAACGGGGACAAAGGGCACGUCGAGGAGGGGAGGAGGCGGCAAAGCGGUGGGGGUUGAAGAGGGUUGGAGCAGCGAGCGAGCAGCCGCGUUCGCGUUCGCGAGAUUAAUUAGGUGAUUACGUUGUUAAAGGCCACUGUUACUGUCCUCGACGGCCGCGCCACGACCGUGCUCGUGACCCCGAAUACGAACACUUGCCGGGCUCUGUGCAAACGCGAGCGAUCGCGACGAAAGAAGUUUCUGAAAGAGAGAGAGAGAGAGAGAGAGAGAGGGUUUUGCAGACUUUUUGGAAAAACAGACGCGAAGGAGUUUGAGCAAGUUUAGCUAGAUCGUUUUGCACGUACGUUUUUUAGUUGACUUGAAUAAUAAAUGAAUGAAUAAACGUUUAUUAAUUAGGUUUCUCGAGAAAUCCAGGGCAGAGGAAAACAGAUUGCAAUUGAUAUGUCAUGCUUACUUGACGACGACUUGACGACAUCUGCCGAAAUGUCUAAAAAUGUACAGUACGGGGGAAAUUGAUCGUUUCGAUUGAAUAUUUCGCACCUGUCCACCUUUACGAAUCACCUGAGGUGAAUCUGAAAACGUACGAGAUUGAUUGUUUCAUUUAGGACGGAUCAACGACGAGCCAUUUUCACCAAACAGUCUGAGAUAUCUAAAAACGUCCAGUAAAAGACUCAAGUCGAUUGCUCGAUUCAAAUUCAAACACGUCUAACACGCCGCUAGAACGGUAUUAUCGAUUCGAGGCGAAUCUUUCUAUUUUUAUAAAAUACGUCGGCGACGUCCAAAAAAAAAAAAAAAAAAAACGUACGGUACAAGUUGAUUAUUCCAUUUGACUCCCCCUUAGCGCUUGAAGUCGUCAGAGACCUGAAAUAGGCCAUGAGCAACUUUCAACGUAUAUUUCUUCGACAAGAUAAAAGAGUAAAACAAAAUUAUUUCGUCGUUCGUUGCAUCACGAAUACUAAACGUUCAACGAGAUCGAAACGAACAAACUUGCUCUGUGUCGUGUACAAGACGAGUCUGAUCGUAAGGCUAGAAAAAGAGAAAGUCCAAGAACUCUGCAAGAGCCCGAGGGCCUCACGAGCUGAAUGCAACGACAGCCUGACGAAUCCGCGUAAGAUCGAUAUCGGUCACGGUCAGUCUCACGUCCGUCGAGCAACGUUGACAAACGAUGAAAACGAUGACAGCAACGAUGGCGGAGGUGCCGCGAGCCGCGGGCCGGGCACUAGGUGCUAAAAGUAUUAAAAAAAAAAAAAAAAAAAGUGUUUAAUCUUGUCGUCGUGGAACAAACGUACGGAAUACGCGCGGCCGGAGAUUGUCGACUUGCUCGUCUCGUCCUUGUUUGUUGCGUCGUUUGAAAGUGGGUUUUGAAGGAGGAGGUUCGCGUUCGCGGUCGAUCCCGGCGGUCGGUCCCGGCCGUGUCUUCUCUUAGGACUCUUAGCUUCUCUUAACGAGAACGUUUAGCGAUGAAUCUUCGUAUCGUGUAAGUGUGUAACAAGUGUAGUAUCAUUUCUAGACAUUUCGUGACUUUUCGCCGUUCUUUCGUACGGAUUUUUAUAUAGCCAGUUUUGUAUGAUCGACGCAUCGGGCCAGCAGCUUCCUGUACUGCGCGUCUCCGUUCCGUCUAAAACCACCGCGAAAACGAUCGACCGACCUCGAACGCGCGGUUCCGUGUCUUCGUUUCGAAAGGAAUUCCUUGACGAAUCGUUCUCUCGAAGGAUCGUGAUUCCCUCGCUAGGGGAGGCAUUGCUCUCUUCCUGGUAGCACGUCGAACCUUCGAAAGAUCAGCGAGAGAUUGGCGACGAGCCAACCUCGAAGCCUCGCGUUAGAAAUAAUUGGAAAACUACUUAGAACCGGAAUCAUGAUUCACACUAAGAAAAGGAAUUCCUUGCUAAAUAGUAAAUUUUAUCAAACAAAGAGAGAGAUCGUUUCUGAUUCGGAAAAACCGGCGAUCGAAGGGAGAGAGAUUCGACGAAGCGAGUCGGCAGUUCUCCGAGCGCGCCAGGGGUGCUAAAAAAAAGAAAAAAAAGAAAAAAGAGAAACACGUUUUUAAAUCGCGGAACUAAUAAGGGUAAAAAUGGGGGCGAGCAAGCUCGAGGGAACAGAGGCGCGAGGGGACAAGGCGAGGAGAUCAGUACCCUUUAGUAAUAUCUAAACUUAAUUGUAACUAUUAACGAUACGUACGACUGUGGUAGCUAUGCUAGUACCUGCUAUUGUUAAAGAAACAGAGAGAGAGAGAGAGAGAGAAAUCGAUUGAAAGAGUGGACAAAAAAGGAAGAAAGACAGAGAGAGAGAGAAAGAGAGAGAAAGAAACGUGAAAGAUCGCGAUUUUUAAGGUUUAGGUUCGUUGCGGAAGACGAACGUCAUCCUGGCAUCUAGAUUUAACAAUAAAUCUAAUUACGGUAGAGACUCUCGCGUAGAAACUAACAGGGAGGCAAAAGUUAAUUAGGAUAAAUAUAAUGAAACGAUUAUUUCUUUGCUGUUUCAAACGAAGAUUAAUGCGUUUAAAUUUGGUAACCAAGAAAUGGUUUAUUCUAGUAAAUUUGACCAUUUUAAACAUUUCUUUUUUUUUUUUUGGUAUAUAUAGAAAUUGAAAUUACUCCAAAAAUUAUUUCAUUGGACUAUGAAUAUGAGUACAUACAUGAUAUAAUAAUUGUAAUAUUUUGAAUUUGCUAAGAAAAUUAUAAUUUUCACUUAUCAUCUAACAUUCUCUGUAAAGUUGUAUUCUUUUCUUUUUAAUGCCUCGAAUGUUAAAACACGUCAUUCUCAUCUGUUUCUGUUCGUCCAAAUUUUUAAGAAAAAUAAUAAUUAAACGAUAAAAUAAAUCGCUUUUGCAAUACGUCAGACACGUAUAUUGAUCAAUUUCAUAAAUUAGAAAAGCGUAGAAAAAUGGUUUUUCUUUUCUACUAUUAGACUUAUCUACUACUGUACGAUACUCGAUACAAUUUCCUUUCGAUGACUAAAUUUAUGAAUGUCGUUCAAAGAUUGAACAAUCAAAGAACAAAUUAAUGAAAAAAAUUAAGUCAACGUCACGGUGUUUGGACAAUGGAGAGACUCUACUGUAGCUCGUUCGGAUCGUUAGUUUCCCGCAAAGGAGGGAUGAAAAUAACAACCCUGACAGAGCAUCGAGGAUCGACGAUCUAGGCUCGAGACGCGGAGAGCUCCUCGCGGCGAUUAUUUUUCUAAUCUUUGUAACCGAACGAAACUGAGUUCGCGGCGAAACACCGCGAGUGAAGUAUCCUCGACUCGACCGGAAGGAGGUCCUCACAGAGAGAUGGCGAGGCGAUCUCGGCCGCGCUUUGGUCGUCGAUCUCGGCGUCUCGAGACGUGUCGCGUGAUCCUUCCUCGACGAUUGAAGGAAGAGACACAAAAAAGAAAAAAGAAAGAAAGAAAAGAAAGAAAGAAGGAAGGAAAAAGUCGAGGAAGAAGAGUCGGCGUGAGGGGGAAGGGAAAGGCGUUGGAGGAAGCAAGCGUUGCAAUAAGUUGCGAAUCAAAUGUGGAUCUCGGUUUGAGACGAGAGGCUCAGCUCAGCGAAGAAUCAAACACACGUACACGAUGUAUACUCUUCUAGUAAAACCAAAAAAAAAAAAAAGAAAAAGGGAAAAAAAAACGAGAGAAAAAUCGGAAGGCGCAGCGAGCGAGAGAGAUGUUGAAUCGAAUCGAAAUGGAAGAGGGUUGGAAACGGAGGAGGUGAAGGGACGAAGCGAUUGAUAUAGAGCAUACAUUGAGAUACACACAAAAA